Molecule: ribosomal RNA, 264 nt
Filed under: uncultured bacterium
Lineage: Bacteria
Description: partial 16S ribosomal RNA
Source: RNAcentral
CUGCUGCCUCCCGUAGGAGUUUGGGCCGUGUCUCAGUCCCAAUGUGGCCGGUCGCCCUCUCAGGUCGGCUACUGAUCGUCGGCUUGGUAGGCUUCUACCCCACCAACUACCUGAUCAGACGCGGGCCCAUCUUACACCACCUCAGUUUUUACCUCUGUACCAUGCGGUACUGGGGUCUUAUGCGGUAUUAGCAAUCAUUUCUAAUUGUUAUCCCCCUGUGUAAGGCAGGUUGCCCACGCGUUACUCACCCGUCCGCCGCUAAGU